CACGAAAAUUGGUACCCAACAAAUAAAAUAAAUCCACAGUAACAGGCUAACAAGAUGAAGUCAAAACUGAAUCUCGUAGAAUACUCAGAUGAUAAUGUUGUAAAAAUGUCUGUGAUAUUUUUAUUUUUUAUCUGUUUAUGUAGAGUAUUUAUUUUUGUACACUCAAUGAAAAGCUUGAAAUGUGCAUUGUUAUUGUACAAAGAAAUUUGAACAUCUAAACCAGACCAUUUCAUAAAUUGAAAUAUUUUGUUCAGAUAAAAGUAUGUGUUGAAUUAGAAAAGAGUAUUGAUAGUAUAUCCUAUGAACAUGUUAUCGUUUUACCCAGGUUUUAUUGAAGAUGGGCUUCAAUGAUUAUGAUUAUUUUCUAAGGAGAAAAAAAAUCAACACACUGAUUGUAGAUCUAUAAUACUGGCAUCUGAAUUUGUGUAACAUGUAGUUUUCGAAGAAAUAUGAUGGCUUUUAAUAAUACAUCAUAUAUGUAUUUAAGUACACUGUAAGAUUGAUUCAUUGUGUAAGCAUUAUAACAGUUAAUUCUGUAGUCAGAAUAUUGUAUUUUUU
This 558-nucleotide long non-coding RNA is filed under the name Mytilus galloprovincialis (Mediterranean mussel). Lineage: Eukaryota; Metazoa; Mollusca; Bivalvia; Mytilida; Mytilidae. The record is from RNAcentral.